GAUGAACGCUGGCGGCGUGCCUAAUACAUGCAAGUCGAGCGAACGGACGAGAAGCUUGCUUUUCUGAUUUUAGCGGCGGACGGGUGAGUAACACGUGGAUAACCUACCUAUAAGACUGGGAUAACUUCGGGAAACCGGAGCUAAUACCGGAUAAUAUUUUGAACCGCAUGGUUCAAAAGUGAAAGACGGUCUUGCUGUCACUUAUAGAUGGAUCCGCGCUGCAUUAGCUAGUUGGUAAGGUAACGGCUUACCAAGGCAACGAUGCAUAGCCGACCUGAGAGGGUGAUCGGCCACACUGGAACUGAGACACGGUCCAGACUCCUACGGGAGGCAGCAGUAGGGAAUCUUCCGCAAUGGGCGAAAGCCCGACGGAGCAACGCCGCGUGAGUGAUGAAGGUCUUCGGAUCGUAAAACUCUGUUAUUAGGGAAGAACAUAUGUGUAAGUAACUGUGCACAUCUUGACGGUACCUAAUCAGAAAGCCACGGCUAACUACGUG
RNAcentral lists this ribosomal RNA (497 nucleotides) under uncultured bacterium. RNAcentral describes it as "partial 16S ribosomal RNA". It matches the Rfam family "Bacterial small subunit ribosomal RNA", at positions 28 to 507 of the family's 1533-position model. The record is from RNAcentral.